GAGGGAACCUGCGGAAGGAUCAUUAUUGAAAUAAACCUGAUGAGUUGUUGCUGGUUCUCUAGAGAGCAUCGUGCACGCUUGUCAUCUUUAUGUCUCCACCUGUGCACAUUUUGUAGACCUGGAUCACUCUCUGAAAUGCUAACCAGCAUUUUAGGUUGGAGGAAUUUGACUUUGUUGUCUUUCCUUGCAUUUCUAGGUCUAUGUUCUUUUUCAUAUAAUCUUAUUGUGAUAUAAUGGACCCUAUAUAAUAUGAACCUAUACAACUUUCAGCAACGGAUCUCUUGGCUCUCGCAUCGAUGAAGAACGCAGCGAAAUGCGAUAAGUAAUGUGAAUUGCAGAAUUCAGUGAAUCAUCGAAUCUUUGAACGCACCUUGCGCUCCUUGGUAUUCCGAGGAGCAUGCCUGUUUGAGUGUCAUUAAUAUAUCAACCUCUUUAAAUUUUGAGAGUGUUUGGAUGUGGGGGUGUUAUUUUGCUGGCCUUCUUCAAGGUCAGCUCCCCUGAAAUGUAUUAGCGGAACAAUUUGUUGACCGUUCAUUGGUGUGAUAGCAUAUCUACGCUAUUGACGUGAAGCAAGUUCAGCUUAUAACAGUCCAUUGACUUGGACAAUUCUCUAUUUAUUAAUGUGACCUCAAAUCAGGUAGGACUGAGCC
RNAcentral lists this ribosomal RNA (650 nucleotides) under Cortinarius mucosus. RNAcentral's name for it is "eukaryotic LSU rRNA". The stretch from base 262 to 415 matches the Rfam family "5.8S ribosomal RNA". Lineage: Eukaryota; Fungi; Basidiomycota; Agaricomycetes; Agaricales; Cortinariaceae. The record is from RNAcentral.